RNAcentral lists this ribosomal RNA (497 nucleotides) under uncultured bacterium. Its description in RNAcentral is "partial 16S ribosomal RNA". It matches the Rfam family "Bacterial small subunit ribosomal RNA", at positions 28 to 507 of the family's 1533-position model. The record is from RNAcentral.
GACGAACGCUGGCGGCGUGCCUAAUACAUGCAAGUUGAGCGCUGAAGGUUGGUACUUGUACCGACUGGAUGAGCAGCGAACGGGUGAGUAACGCGUGGGGAAUCUGCCUUUGAGCGGGGGACAACAUUUGGAAACGAAUGCUAAUACCGCAUAAAAACUUUAAACACAAGUUUUAAGUUUGAAAGAUGCAAUUGCAUCACUCAAAGAUGAUCCCGCGUUGUAUUAGCUAGUUGGUGAGGUAAAGGCUCACCAAGGCGAUGAUACAUAGCCGACCUGAGAGGGUGAUCGGCCACAUUGGGACUGAGACACGGCCCAAACUCCUACGGGAGGCAGCAGUAGGGAAUCUUCGGCAAUGGACGAAAGUCUGACCGAGCAACGCCGCGUGAGUGAAGAAGGUUUUCGGAUCGUAAAACUCUGUUGGUAGAGAAGAACGUUGGUGAGAGUGGAAAGCUCAUCAAGUGACGGUAACUACCCAGAAAGGGGCGGCUAACUACGUG